RNAcentral lists this ribosomal RNA (465 nucleotides) under uncultured bacterium. RNAcentral's name for it is "partial 16S ribosomal RNA". It matches the Rfam family "Bacterial small subunit ribosomal RNA", at positions 339 to 795 of the family's 1533-position model. The record is from RNAcentral.
CUACGGGCGGCUCCAGUGGGGAAUAUUGGACAAUGGGGGAAACCCUGAUCCAGCAAUGCCGCGUGUGUGAAGAAGGCCUGCGGGUUGUAAAGCACUUUCGGUUGGGAGGACUGCUUCUAGCACUAAUAUUGUUGGAAGUUGACGUUACCUUCAGAAGAAGCACCGGCUAACUCCGUGCCAGCAGCCGCGGUAAUACGGAGGGUGCAAGCGUGAAUCGGAAUUACUGGGCGUAAAGCGCGCGUAGGCGGCUAGAUCAGUCGGGUGUGAAAGCCCCGGGCUUAACCUGGGAACUGCAUCCGAUACUGUCUAGCUUGAGUACAGGAGAGGAGAGUGGAAUUCCACAUGUAGCGGUGAAAUGCGUAGAUAUGUAGAGGAACACCAAUGGCGAAGGCAGCUCUCUGGCCUGAUACUGACGCUGAGGUGCGAAAGCGUGGGGAGCAAACAGGAUUAGAUACCCCCGUAGUC